GACGAACGCUGGCGGCGUGCUUAACACAUGCAAGUCGAACGGAAAGGCCCUGCUUGCAGGGUACUCGAGUGGCGAACGGGUGAGUAACACUUGGGUGAUCUGCCCUGCACUUCGGCAUAAGCCUGGGAAACUGGGUCUAAUCCCGGAUAGGAGCCACUUUUAGUGUGAUGGUUGGAAAGUUUUUUCGGUGUAGGAUGAGCUCGUGGCCUAUCAGCUUGUUGGUGGGGUAAUGGCCUACCAAGGCGGCGACGGGUAGCCGGCCUGGGAGGGUGGACGGCGACAUUGGGACUGAGAGACGGACCAGACUCCUACGGGAGGCAGCAGUGGGGAAUAUGGCACAAUGAGCGCAAGCCUGAUGAAGCGACGCCGCGUGGGGGAUGACGGCCUUCGGGGUGUAAACUCCUUUCGCUAGGGACGAAGCUUUUGUGACGGUACCUAGAGAAGAAGCACCGGCUAACUACGUG
This 464-nucleotide ribosomal RNA is filed under the name uncultured bacterium. RNAcentral's name for it is "partial 16S ribosomal RNA". It matches the Rfam family "Bacterial small subunit ribosomal RNA", at positions 28 to 507 of the family's 1533-position model. The record is from RNAcentral.